Molecule: long non-coding RNA, 1662 nt
Filed under: Helianthus annuus (common sunflower)
Lineage: Eukaryota; Viridiplantae; Streptophyta; Magnoliopsida; Asterales; Asteraceae
Description: hypothetical non coding rna
Source: RNAcentral
GACCAUUUGCUACCCUCCUCCCAUAUUGCCACUAUCAUCCUUUCCUAUAUUUAAUUUUCUUUUAUAGUAUACUUAUAAUAAUAAUAAAGCUUUACCUUGUUUUAAGUAUUUUAACUCCCGAUCACCGCUACCUUUUCCGAUUGAUCUGAACCCCAUAACGCAUGUCAAGGCUCUGCCCGACUAAGUUCGUUUGGGUUCUGUCUCGUGACAUAGGGACAAGGUUGAAUUAGGGGUACUAUACUUACCACGAGUGCAUUAUAUAUUUUUCUAUAUCUCAAAAGUUAUACCUCAAAAUUUAUACCAGGAGGUUUUCUAAUUGAACCCUAAAGUUACAAAGUAGGUCCAUUCUCUUUUCUCACAGUUUUAUUUCCUUUUUGUGAAUUACCCAAAACUAUUAUUUAUUAUUCUAUUUUGUAAACAACUCUCAAUCAAAAGUCAUAUCUAUUAUAUUAUUUACCCAAUAGGAAACCCUAGUUGAGACACCCAAGUAAUUCUACACAAUCCCUAAAAUUUUCAGAAUAAACAGAAUCAGGUUCAGGGCCCCUAAAACUCAAGGGGGAUAAACCCUAAUCAAUAUUUAUCUUCUAAAAUUUGUUGUCAAAAUUGAAUACAAGCAAACAGUCGACUCAGCAAGCCUACACCCACAUGUAGCCACCCUAUAGUGAAAAUGUGUCCCUUACGGACCGUAAGGGAUUAGGCUUACGGUCCGUAAGCAUGUCAAAAUUGGUGUAUAAAUAGCAGGCAUCGGGACCUGAUUUCUUGCAUUCGUACGACGAUCAAAUUCAAUUGAUACGUCGAGAUAUAAUAGAAACAAUCACAAAAACACUAAAUUAGUAGAGGGGGUGCUGCUACGAUACAGGGUUUUAACUCGAUCGCUAUUACGAUUCAUUUUCCGACCGAUCAAUAUAUCCAAUGGAUGUUUAAGUGCCGCCCACAUUAGGGUUAUACUUUGUCAUUCGUCGUUAAAUCGAUGGAUGUGUAAGUAUCGCACUUUGUCGUUCGUUGUGAGAAUUUGAUCUCGUGAGUUAUCGUAAUUGUUGUAUUAAGUUACCUACCUAGUUCGUGUGCACUAGGUUACAAGGCUAAAUCAAUAGGCUAAGCUCUGCCUGUAUAAAUCUGCAAUAUAUCAAACUUUGGCCGUAUGAAUCUGCAUGAUUAUAAUGUAACUACAGUAGAUUGGAGUAAGGAUUGGAUCUGGCACUAAAAGACUUCAAGAAGUGGCUUAUUUUAUUAAUUAAAUCAAAUUAAGAAAUAUUGUUUUUAUUAAAAGCUACCUUUGUAACAAUGGAAUUUAUUCCAUCUAUUUAAAUAAAAUCCGGUGUUUCUAAACUCUGAUAUUUUUCCUAACUCACGUCCAGUGGUACCCGUGAUAUCUGAUUUAUGCGGCAGCGGAAGUCUUUUAUUACAGGAUCUUUUCACCGUAAAAUGCUCGUUUUAAUAUAUUAUACAAAGUUUUAGGGAUAAAUUCCCAUAAUUUACAAUAUGUUGAUUUCACACAGAAAUCAUUAUUUGCCAAAACAUGUUUUAUUUAGUUAUUCACAAUGAGCCACUUUUCUGAGCUUGUAGUGCUUUACUGCACUUUUCCUGGAUCACACAGAUCACCUGAAACAUGUUUGGAAAAGGUUUUAUCAGCGGGGAAAUACUGAGUGAAUCAUUCCGUUU